RNAcentral lists this ribosomal RNA (251 nucleotides) under uncultured prokaryote. RNAcentral describes it as "partial 16S rRNA". It matches the Rfam family "Bacterial small subunit ribosomal RNA", at positions 525 to 775 of the family's 1533-position model. The record is from RNAcentral.
ACGUAGGGGGCAAGCGUUGUCCGGAUUUACUGGGUGUAAAGGGCGCGUAGGCGGAUCUAUAAGUCGGUGGUGAAAUCCUGCAGCUUAACUGCAGAACUGCCGUCGAUACUGUGGAUCUUGAGUUCGGAAGAGAGUAGCGGAAUUCCGGGUGUAGUAGUGAAAUACGUAGAUAUCUGGAAGAACACCAGUGGCGAAGGCGGCUACUUGGUCCGUAUCUGACGCUGAGGCGCGAAAGCGUGGGGAGCAAACAG